This 501-nucleotide ribosomal RNA is filed under the name uncultured Bacteroidota bacterium. Its description in RNAcentral is "bacterial SSU rRNA". It matches the Rfam family "Bacterial small subunit ribosomal RNA", at positions 72 to 572 of the family's 1533-position model. The record is from RNAcentral. Lineage: Bacteria; Pseudomonadati; Bacteroidota.
UAGCAAUAUUAUUUGAUGGCGACCAGCGCACGGGUGCGUAACACGUAUGCAAUCUACCUCGUACUUGGGCAUAACUCCGAGAAAUCGGUGCUAAUUCCCAAUGACACUAUGAAGUGGCAUCACUUUAUAGUUAAAGUUCCGGCGGUACGAGAUGAGCAUGCGCCCAAUUAGCUAGUUGGUGAGGUAAUGGCUCACCAAGGCUACGAUUGGUAGGGGUUCUGAGAGGAUGAUCCCCCACACUGGUACUGAGACACGGACCAGACUCCUACGGGAGGCAGCAGUGAGGAAUAUUGCGCAAUGGACGAAAGUCUGACGCAGCCAUGCCGCGUGAAGGAUGAAGGCCCUAUGGGUUGUAAACUUCUUUUGUACGGGAAAAAACCCUUCUACGUGUAGAGGGCUGAUGGUACCGUAAGAAUAAGCACCGGCUAACUCCGUGCCAGCAGCCGCGGUAAUACGGAGGGUGCAAGCGUUAUCCGGAUUUAUUGGGUUUAAAGGGUCCGU